CAAAAAAAAAAACAAGUACCUUAUUAAAACACGUGCACGAUAUCAAUUUAAUAAAUUAACUAUUUAAAAAAAAUAAACGUUUUAUUCAAGGUUCUUGAUAAAUUAGUAUCGGUAAUGAAAAUUUUGAGAUGUUGGAAAAGGAUCCGCGCCACCCUCUUGAUUUGGAUUUUUGAAUGCUUCAAAAAUACACAUACCAAUAAAUACAUAUAUAUACAAAGAUAGAAAUCAUUAUAUAGGUAUUACCGGUUAUUAGAAUGAGAUGCUUAUUUAGAGUUUUAUAGUAAAUUAUUUUUAUUAUCGGUUUCUAUUCCCAUUCUGGAUGUUCUACAAUCAGCGACAUUAAGUACCCGGGUCGUAUUGCCCUGGGCUUGAUAUUUCGGUACUUCUACUUUGGAACCGUUGAGCCGAGGGCAACAUUCUCUAAAUGCUCUUUCAGAAUCCACAAUUGCCCCCGUCUAGAAUUAAUAUUUAAUUAAUUAUCAUCAAUUAAAAAUACAAAACUAAUUUUGUGGAUAACUCAAUAAAUAAAUAAUAUUUUUAAUAUUUAUCUCUCUCAUUAAAUUGCUUCCCUUUUUUUUACUGUCACUACAGUACCAUAUUACAGCGAAAGGUCAUUUAUUAAAUAAGUCAUUAGCAACCAUUUAAUCUUGUAUCGUUGUGAGUGCAAGUGAUCUGCAUCUCGUACGAAUAUAUAAAAUUACUAAUUCUGAUUUAUUUCGUUCGACUUGAAAAAUUCCAACUUUAACACGCCUUUUUUUUUAUUGGAAAGAGGAUAUUGAAAGUUUCAAAAACAACAAUAAACUGAUCGAUUAAAAACAAUGGAAAAUUAUACUAAAAAAUGCAACUGCACACGAGCCUGUAUGUUUCAAUGUCUGGGUUUAGACGGACUUGAAAAAAUUUGUAUGGGAGCUGGACAUCAAUUCAGCUUGCUGCAAGAUUAUUUAAAAAUACGAUCUGAUAUUGAACCGACGCUACCAACCGGUAGUAAAUUCAGUGAAAUCAAUUUAGAUAUUAACGAAUACCGUGCAUUUAUUAUCUGCAAAAUAUAUCUCCUGGUUUCUGGACAUCGAAAAAUGUGAUGGUGCACAGAAACUUCUAAAGAACACUGAAUAUCAAAAAAUGUAUUGGGCAGCCAGAGAACCAAAUUCUGAAUCUAUAGAAAAAAUAUUUAGUAUCGGUAGUGACAAUCUUGAGUUGCUGCGUGAUAAUCAUCACCACCCUAUUGAUAUCGAUUUUUAAAUACUUGAAAAAUACACAUAUCGAUAAAUAUAUGUAAUAUAAAUUAAAUAAAACUUGCUGGUAAUUUACAUCUGCGAUAUUAAUUGUUUUUUGGACACACC
Long non-coding RNA from Microplitis demolitor, 1340 nucleotides. RefSeq lists it as uncharacterized. The transcript is spliced from 5 exons. The record is from RefSeq and is a predicted model, not a curated record. NCBI's taxonomy places the organism in Eukaryota, Metazoa, Arthropoda, Insecta, Hymenoptera, Braconidae.